RNAcentral lists this ribosomal RNA (627 nucleotides) under Papiliotrema laurentii. Its description in RNAcentral is "eukaryotic LSU rRNA". It matches the Rfam family "Eukaryotic large subunit ribosomal RNA", at positions 41 to 662 of the family's 3401-position model. The record is from RNAcentral. Lineage: Eukaryota; Fungi; Basidiomycota; Tremellomycetes; Tremellales; Rhynchogastremaceae.
UAUCAAUUAAGCGGAGGAAAAGAAACUAACAAGGAUUCCCCUAGUAACGGCGAGUGAACCGGGAAGAGCUCAAAUUUGAAAUCUGGCGUCCUCAGGGCGUCCGAGUUGUAAUCUAUAGAGGCGUUUUCCGUGCCGGACCGUGUCCAAGUUCCUUGGAACAGGAUAUCAAAGAGGGUGACAAUCCCGUACUUGACACGACGACCGGUGCUCUGUGAUACGUCUUCUACGAGUCGAGUUGUUUGGGAAUGCAGCUCAAAAUGGGUGGUGAGUUCCAUCUAAAGCUAAAUAUUGGCGAGAGACCGAUAGCGAACAAGUACCGUGAGGGAAAGAUGAAAAGCACUUUGGAAAGAGAGUUAAACAGUACGUGAAGAAAGGGAAACGAUUGAAGUCAGUCGUGACCGAGAGGCUCAGCCGGUUCUGCCGGUGUAUUCCCCUCGGUCGGGUCAACAUCAGUUUUGUCCGGUGGAUAAGGGCGGUAGGAAGGUGGCACCCUCGGGUGUGUUAUAGCCUGCCGUCGCAUACAUCGGGUGAGACUGAGGAACGCAGCUCGCCUUUAUGGCCGGGGUUCGCCCACGUCCGAGCUUAGGAUGUUGACAUAAUGGCUUUAAACGACCCGUCUUGAAACAA